CUCUUAUGUAGAGCAGGUGGAGGGACGAUCCCGAUGAAACCCGGCAACCUGUUUCGGUCUUGCGACUGAUUCAAGGUGCUAAUUCUCUCGCGCAGACAGCGUGGCAGAUAAGAG
This 114-nucleotide non-coding RNA is filed under the name Bacillus sp. (in: firmicutes). Its description in RNAcentral is "Bacillus sp. SAM-I sequence". It matches the Rfam family "SAM riboswitch aptamer (S box leader)". From Rfam's summary of the family: The SAM riboswitch is found upstream of a number of genes which code for proteins involved in methionine or cysteine biosynthesis in Gram-positive bacteria. The SAM riboswitch acts at the level of transcription termination control. The record is from RNAcentral. Lineage: Bacteria; Bacillati; Bacillota; Bacilli; Caryophanales; Bacillaceae.